Molecule: ribosomal RNA, 253 nt
Filed under: uncultured bacterium
Lineage: Bacteria
Description: partial 16S ribosomal RNA
Rfam family: Bacterial small subunit ribosomal RNA
Source: RNAcentral
UACGUAGGUGGCAAGCGUUGUCCGGAUUUACUGGGCGUAAAGAGCGCGCAGGCGGUUGGGUAAGUCGAAUGUGAAAGCCCCCGGCUCAACUGGGGAGGGUCAUUCGAUACUGUCCGACUCGAAGGCAGGAGAGGGAAGCGGAAUUCCCGGUGUAGUGGUGAAAUGCGUAGAUAUCGGGAGGAACACCAGUGGCGAAGGCGGCUUUCUGGCCUGUUCUUGACGCUGAGGCGCGAAAGCCAGGGGAGCGAACGGG